AUGGCCAACAGCUCGCCUUCCUCUGUCAACAAGCACAUAUCCGAGACCUCGUCGAGAUGCCGGACAGAGUGUGUCGCCACCGCCCACAACUUCGAGGUGACUGAGUAUUCGCUGCUCGAGGGUAUGGGUAUCGACAAGUUCGUUAGCUCCAGCACAUUCAGCGUCGGCGGCUAUGACUGGAACAUCAGGAUCUACCCUGAUGGGUGGAAGGAAGAAGACAAAGGUGCCUACAUGUCUGUCUUCUUGCGCAUCUGCAGUAAGCCAACAACGGGUGUCAAGGUGAAGUACACAUUCGGUUUAUUGGAGAAAGAUGGAAAAGUUAGUUGUCUGUACAGCGAAGGGAGUACCUUUCAGUCCGGUUUUUGGGGCUGCCCCAAGUUUAUUGAGAAGUCCAAGCUGAAGGAACUGCUAUCCCGCAAUGACGACUGCUUCACGCUCAGGUGCGUUUUGACCGUGAUGAAAGAGCCUCGCACUGAAGAUGUAAGCACAGUCAUAGUCCAAGUGCCGCAGUCAAACCUGCACACACACUUUGUGAACAUGCUCAAGGACGGAGAAGGCAUGGAUGUGACGUUCAGUGUCGGCGGCCAACAGUUCAGUGCACAUAGAUGCGUGUUAGCCGCGCGAUCCUUGGUGUUCAAGGCCGAGCUCUUUGGUCAGAUGAAGGAGACCGCCAUGAAACACAUCAAGAUCGAUGACAUGGAUCCUUCUGUAUUCGAGGCACUUCUGCACUUCAUAUACACUGAUUCUCUGCCAAGCGACUCGGAUCUGGAUCGGAAUGUGGAAUUGCAGCACUUGUUGGUUGCCGCAGAUCGGUACGGACUGGACCAGCUGAAGGCUAUGUGUGAAGGGAAGCUAUGCCAGAAAAUCGAUGUGCAAACAGUGGCAACCACCCUUGCUUUAGCAGAGCAGCACCACGCCGCGCAACUCAAGGAUGCUUGUCUCAGACACCUUUCUUCACAGGAGGUGCUUCGAGCUGUCAAAGAGACUGAUGGAUUCAAGCACCUCACAGCAAGCUGCCCAUGGAUCAUGAUGGACAUUUUAGAGAAGGUCGCGCCACCGUCAGGAGCAUGA
RNAcentral lists this ribosomal RNA (1071 nucleotides) under Triticum aestivum (bread wheat). RNAcentral describes it as "partial small subunit ribosomal RNA". Lineage: Eukaryota; Viridiplantae; Streptophyta; Magnoliopsida; Poales; Poaceae. The record is from RNAcentral.